This 492-nucleotide ribosomal RNA is filed under the name uncultured bacterium. Its description in RNAcentral is "partial 16S ribosomal RNA". It matches the Rfam family "Bacterial small subunit ribosomal RNA", at positions 29 to 507 of the family's 1533-position model. The record is from RNAcentral.
AGUGAACGCUGGCGGUAGGCCUAACACAUGCAAGUCGAACGGCAGCACAGUAAGAGCUUGCUCUUACGGGUGGCGAGUGGCGGACGGGUGAGGAAUACAUCGGAAUCUACUUUUUCGUGGGGGAUAACGUAGGGAAACUUACGCUAAUACCGCAUACGACCUACGGGUGAAAGCAGGGGAUCUUCGGACCUUGCGCGAUUGAAUGAGCCGAUGUCGGAUUAGCUAGUUGGCGGGGUAAAGGCCCACCAAGGCGACGAUCCGUAGCUGGUCUGAGAGGAUGAUCAGCCACACUGGAACUGAGACACGGUCCAGACUCCUACGGGAGGCAGCAGUGGGGAAUAUUGGACAAUGGGCGCAAGCCUGAUCCAGACAUACCGCGUGGGUGAAGAAGGCCUUCGAGUUGUAAAGACCUUUUGUUGGGAAAGAAAAGCAGCAGGUUAAUACCCCGCUGUUCUGACGGUACCCAAAGAAUAAGCACCGGCUAACUUCGUG